Molecule: long non-coding RNA, 860 nt
Organism: Glycine soja
Lineage: Eukaryota; Viridiplantae; Streptophyta; Magnoliopsida; Fabales; Fabaceae
Exons: 3
Source: RefSeq, a predicted model, not a curated record
CUAUAAUCUCAUGAAAACAAAGGCCUAUAAUAUGUUACGCUGGAGAUUCGAUCCAAUCUGGAAUUAAUCCGAAGAUAUUUUCAGAGUAGUGCUUUAGGUUGAGAGAGGUUUAGACCUAAAAAAUCCCCACCAAUUUCAGCGGAAAAAUUUAUAGUGGAAUUACAUAUCUCUUACCUACCAAUUACCUAAAAACUGGCUUGGCAGGAGUGGAAGGCCGAUCAGCUCACUCACGUGAUUAUCGUUCCAUCCGUGAAGGAAUAUGGAUCGGGGGUUCACUAUACUUCAUACCUGUUCCUAGAUCAGAUUCAUAUCCUCAUCCAUCCAUAUGUGUAAAGUAGUGCAGAACAGUCACAGGUGAAUUCCAGACUAUGUCGACAUCAUAACAGUUGUUUUGGAAUUCGGUUCUGCAUUUGUCAAUGCAAUGUCUUUAGCUACGAAACAACAAGAUAUCCAGAGGUUGAUGAGGAUGAUCUAUGUGGUGCCACAACUUCUAUUAUGUUUGUGCUUUCCAUGGUACAAGCACAAGGUUUCAGUUUCCUAGCAAGCUUCAACAACAUGGUAGAUCAUGAUGUGGUGGAAAGCAUUGGGAACAAGGCAAAUGCUCCAAGCUGGUUUGCCGUCACAUUUGCCACCGUGGGUGUUGCUUGCUCAUGCCUCAGUUUUAUCAUUCUCCAUCAUGCCAUCAUACAGAAUCUGGAGAAAUUGCUCGUCAACGUUCAUUCUCAGCCACCUCAGUCAUCUCUUGAAAUUGUCACUGUUGAAGCUGUUUUGAUGUUAUAGUUAAGGAAGUACUUUAUGAUAUUCUGAGGUCUAAACUUAGUACUUUAAAGAUAUACCAGUUUGUUGGUUUUUUUCUGAAU